This 228-nucleotide ribosomal RNA is filed under the name uncultured bacterium. Its description in RNAcentral is "partial 16S ribosomal RNA". It matches the Rfam family "Bacterial small subunit ribosomal RNA", at positions 568 to 795 of the family's 1533-position model. The record is from RNAcentral.
UGCGUAGGCGGACUAAUAAGUCAGUGGUGAAAUCUCUCGGCUCAACCGGGAAACUGCCAUUGAUACUGUUAGUCUUGAGUUCGGUUGAGGUAGGCGGAAUGGGUAAUGUAGCGGUGAAAUGCUUAGAUAUUACACAGAACACCAAUUGCGUAGGCAGCUUACUAGACCGACACUGACGCUGAGGCACGAAAGCGUGGGGAGCGAACAGGAUUAGAUACCCUGGUAGUC